Long non-coding RNA from Monodelphis domestica (gray short-tailed opossum), 966 nucleotides. RefSeq lists it as uncharacterized. The record is from RefSeq and is a predicted model, not a curated record. Lineage: Eukaryota; Metazoa; Chordata; Mammalia; Didelphimorphia; Didelphidae.
CUCUAUUUGGAGUGAAAGGACUUCAGUUCAAUUCUCAUCUAUUAUCUACCUCUGGACCUGAAAUCAUUUUCAUUUUUAAGAGGAACAUGUUGACGUUUUUACUUUAUGACGUUCAUUCUAAAUGUCUGAAGACAGAGAAAGAGUUCAUGACUAAGUAUGAGAUACAGAGAGCAUCAGAGAAGAAAAAACGGACAACUAUGACUGCAUAAAAGUAAUAAAUUACUGCACCAAAAAGACACCUAAAAGUAAAAGAGAAAUGAAUUGUGCUAAUUUUGUCCACUGAGAGAAUCUUCAAUGGUUUCUAUGCUAUCAAAAUAUUCUGAUGAUCUAAGGCAACAAGAGCACUUGUAAUUAAAAAAAUGUAAAGAAACUUAGUGGCAUAAUAAUUAUAUUUGUAUAUGUUGUAUAUACACAAAAGCCAAGUGUUAGAAAAAUGAGGCACACUAGUAUUUCUUGUUCACUUUGAUGAAGAAAUAAUGUUUUUUUUUUCUUAAAUCCAUACUCUAAAGAAUAGAAUUCUGAUGUUAUAAGAAUUGAUAUUCUUUCCACAAUACUGAAUUUAAACUGCAAAGACCCAAGUUACGGACAUAGGUCUACUAUUGAGUAUGUAGGAAAUCAUAUGGAAGAUACUUACACUCUUGGUGACUCUAUUUCCACAUCUUUAAAAUGAGGAGAGUAGAUUAGAUGAAAUCUAAGGUUCCUUUCAGUUAUAAAUAUCAUAUCAAUCUAAAUUUUAUGAGAUGAUAUUUAUGUAAAGGUAUAUGUGACAGUGGUAUUGCUAUAUGCAUUUAAACCCAGAGAGUGCUAAUAGGUAAUGCUCAAACCUUAUUCUCAUUGGAAUCAAUUCUGAGAGGGAAGAGAAUCUAGAUCCAUUGGGAUAUCGAUUUCUACCUUACCUUAUAGGGAAGUUGAAAGUAGGAAAAUAAGGUGGUGGGGGGUGAGGUGGGGAGUAAAAAAGGGAGGGAA